AAAAUAAUCAGAAAAAAAUUGCAUUCAUUACUCGAAGUCGAAGAUACAGAGAAGAUUACGAAUUUCGUCGAUAAGGGGUAUCUUUCACCAAGUUGCCAAAUCGAAGAGAAGAUUUCAGCAGUAAAUUUGCAAGCUAUAAAAGUAUUCUUGACAUGAAAUACAACAUCAAUUAGAUAAAUUAACGUGUGAAAGUUUUAAAAAAUGAAUUUCAAAUCAGCAAAAUUACGGUAAAAAUGGCGUAAAAUCCAACUCCGCCAUUUUUCAGAAAAUACGACAACGUUGCAUUGGGAAUUUUUUUUUAAAAAAAUGAAUGAAAAAUAAAAUUGAUUGAAAUGAGGAGUUCAUUGUGCGUGUUCGGCUUCGGUGUUUCCUCCUUUGUUUUAAAUUUAAGCAUUGCCGGCAUAUUUAUGAUGAAGAUUCAAUAUCUUCUCGAGUUGAACGAACUCGACGUCAAUCCAUCGUCUCUGAGGAGUUUUAAGCUUAUAAGAUGUCCAGAUACCUGGAUGGCUGUGAUAGAGGCUUUCAGAAAAACUGUAUCGAAUGGACGUUGAUCGCUUUUGCCUUUUACAGAAUAGGCAACUGAAAAAUCAAUUUUUAAAAAAAAGUGAUUUGCUCAUACGGAAAUAGGACGAAACUUUCUCCAGCAUCGACCUUGAUGAAGGAAAAAAAUAAAAUGCAGAGCCAACCUUUGGGUUGUUUCGUGAAACCUUGCGGAAAGUUGAUCGAAAAUGCGAAAUUGUACGAUUUGAUCGGGAAGGACUAGAGCAAACAGAAACAGCACAACGCACCCUAGUUAAUUUUAUUUUUCAAAACAUCAAAAGGUUGUCCCUUCAGCCGAAGUAUAAAGAACUUGAUAUACAAAGAAAAAGAUUGGUCGUCGGAUUUUUAAAAUUUAAAUUAGAAAUUUUUUUUUCCUGCGAUAAAAUUGUCAUAGAUACCUAUAGUUUAGAAUAAAGAUGUAGGUUGAAAUCAUGUGAUAGCAAUGCUAUGUUUAUGGGAUGCAGGACCACUUACCUACUCAUGCUUUUUAAGAAAAUUCCUGAACGAGGUCCGAAUUCAAAUGGAGACUCAGUAUUUGUUUAUUAUUUAUUAUUAUUAUUAAUUAUUAUUUUAUUUUCAGAGUAAAUACUCGGUAUUUGGCAAUUAUAAAUAUGAAUCUGUAUCCUAAUUCAAAAUAAAAACUAAAUUUGUUUUUUUUUUA
Planococcus citri (citrus mealybug) is the source of this 1201-nucleotide long non-coding RNA. RefSeq lists it as uncharacterized. The transcript is spliced from 5 exons. NCBI's taxonomy places the organism in Eukaryota, Metazoa, Arthropoda, Insecta, Hemiptera, Pseudococcidae. The record is from RefSeq and is a predicted model, not a curated record.